CAGAUAUUAGUUUAUAUAAAAUUUUAAUUUUGGAGAUUAAAGAUAGAAAAAUUUCUAUAUCUGA
Molecule: transfer RNA, 64 nt
Filed under: Chaetocnema obesa
Lineage: Eukaryota; Metazoa; Arthropoda; Insecta; Coleoptera; Chrysomelidae
Description: tRNA-Pro
Source: RNAcentral